Molecule: long non-coding RNA, 2966 nt
Organism: Magnolia sinica
Lineage: Eukaryota; Viridiplantae; Streptophyta; Magnoliopsida; Magnoliales; Magnoliaceae
Exons: 4
Source: RefSeq, a predicted model, not a curated record
CAGAUGUCCAAUUGCUUAUUUCUCCGGUAGGUUAUUCAGUCAGACUUCACCUUCUCUUUAAUGUAAUCUUUAUAGUCUGAGCUGUUAGGAUUUCGACUCACAUUGCAUCAUGUACUGGGAUGUGAUAGCAUUUGGGGUUGCGAUUGUAGAUGUAAAGUGCAAAAGACGGUGAGGGCUAAGUGGAUGUGCUAUAGCACUUUGAGGUCGUGAUUGUAGCUGUGGAGGAAAAUACGAGAAUGUCUAGUGUAUAUCCCACCUGUGGGUUAUGGUGGGCUGUUGCUGUCCAUCAGGGUUGCAGAGGUCAGGUUGAGCUUGGUGUUACGUUUGGUACUGAUGAGUGAUUCCUGGUUUGGUUGGUGGAUUGUUGUCUGUUGACCCCUACUCCAAUGGAUCUUCUUCCAUUAAUCACAUCUCUUUAUAGUGGGCCUUUGGAAUUCUUAUUUGUAGUUGAAAGUACGGAAGAUCCAACUUACCAUGUUGUAUCUGUGCUGAUUAAAGAAUAUGAGGUAAAUAAUCUCUUUCCCAUCUAACUCAGCUAUCAUGACAAUUAAGGUUAGGUAAGUAAGCACUUGCUACAAUAUAUCUUUCCUGGGAUGUGCUACAAUUGCAAGCAUCUAGGCAGUUUUGAGUUAUGCCUAAUAUAUUAUCUUUUUAUUGUGAUUCAUCACUGAUGUCAGAUUUAGGCAAUGCGAUCAAUCUUUGGGGCUUUGUGCACUUUGUAGUCUCCAUAGUAGUGAAGCACUCACCAGUCAUAAAAGAUAGUGUUGAUGCGAAGAUUCUUAUAGCUGGUUUGUCAACAACAUGCAGUCAGAAAAUUCACAAUCAGUUAGUAUGUAAAUUGUAUAGCGUUCAUACCUUUUCUUCUCUUAAAAAAUCAGUUAGUAUGCAAGUUGUAAAGUGUUCUUACCUUUUUCUUCUCUUGAAAAAUUCAAUAUAUUUUCUUUUGAUAUAUGAUUUCUGCAGAUUUUCAUAGGGAAUUUUCUCAAUGUAAAAAAAAAUUGUUUUCUUUUCUGCAAAUAAGGCCAUUGUUCCUCCCUUCCUCUGUCAUUUGAUCAUACUUAGAACUUUUUUAUGGGUAAAUAUUCUUCAUUGGAAGGAAACUAGAAAUGUAACAAUCAAAAUACAAUCAAAGUUCCCCAAAAGAUACACGAAUCUCCACAUAGUUUGAAAGUGCUUUUUAGGUGCUUGUGGGCCUGUUUUUUCUUGUAAUCUUUUUAUUUCUUCUUAUUUUUAAUUGGGUUUUGGUUUUCAAACUACAAGUUGGGAUGGUAAUGUGAUUACAGGUCCCAUUAACAACAGUUUUUUCUUUGUUUAUUGACAUGGGUUUUUAAUCUUUUGAUUUUUAUUUUUUUCUCCUAUAGUUUCUGAGUCUUUUCUGUCUUAUUUGGAUUGAGUUUGUCUUGCUUUUACAUAAGGUUUGGUGGAGAUGUGAGUACAGGUUAUAUAUACAGACGUGGGUCCAUCAGAUGAGCAGCCGGUAUCAGUAGGUUGUGUGUAAAGGAUAGAUGACCUUUAAUACAUGGUUAACUCAAAUUGUUCAAGGAAGUGAAAGGUAAUGAGAUCACCUUGAACCAUUGCUAGUUACCUCUAGCCUAACCAGGCUAGAAAAAAACCUGCAAGUGAAUCUAUUUUUCAAAAUCUAGUAGGAUGGUGUCCAACUGCCCAAGAUUUCCUUCCAGUUAAAAUAUGAGAAUCCAUUACUGCCCAAACAGGUAGAAAUCAUAUUCUGAUUUAUAGAUGUCUUCAGUAGUAGUUUUUUCUUUUUCUUUUUUCUUUUUUUUUCUUUUUUUUUUUGUAUCUUUCCCUGGACCAUUUGUUUUUCCUCUUGAUGGUUUUAGGUAAAGGAAUCAUGGCUGGAAGUUCAACUUUGUGAAGAGAAAACCCCAUAGUCAUAUUGCCAACAAAACAAGUCAGUCAAAGAUAUUCAGAUUUCCUAAGCAUAGCAGUGAGGAAAUGGUAAAAAAUGAUUACUGUCAGGUGCUUGGAGAAGAAUAAUCUGUACGGUUUAGAUAACUAUUAUAAAUGAUAGUUAUAAUAGUUAUAACUUACUGGUCAUUAUGUCCCAAUACUUGCAACAAUAAUGAUAAUGCUGCUUGGAGAAGAAUAAUCUGUACGGUUCUGUCAUAAAGUCUGGGUUGUAGUUUCUAUUAUUUUGUUUUAAUGUUAGGAGUUUCAUUGUAAUAUGUUUUGUCCCAUGCUAUCACUAAACAAUGGAUGGUAUUACAAAAAUAAGAGAAAGCAUAUGCACACAUAGUUCAAAUUUCACUAUCAUUUAUGCCCAUGAUAUUUUUUCUUGCCAGAUGCCAUGGUUCCAAAUGUCGUCUGAAUGCAUCGUGUCACGUGUUUUGUAUUUAUUGAAGUACCUUUGAUAUGACACACUCUGAUGUUUUGAAACUAGACAAGUGCCACAUUUGGCAAGUGUUCAACUGGAGACAUUGAAUGAAGAAGAGUGAUUUUUAUUUUUUAUUUUUUAUUUUUGCUAUCGAGACUUUUGCAUCAACAGGCUGCAUCACUACCAAAGAACUGUGUACUAUGAUGAGAUCUCUUUGGCAAAAUCCAACUGAAGCUGAGCUCCAAGAUCUCUUUAUUAUUAUUUUUUCUCUGGUCUUUUCUGAAGAAUUCUCAAUGUCAUGCUCAAUUAAAAAUGAUGGCUCAUAUAUGACAUUUUCAACUUGAAACAGAGCUGCUUUUGUGAAAUUGAUUGAGGGGUUAUCUUUAACUUGAUUGAACUGAUUGAUUACUAUUUGCAGCUGAGCAUAUUUCUCUUAUGGGUAAAUUGUACAAAGAACAAAACAGUUUUCUGCAUAUCGUUUCUUGUUUCUACUCUUCACUGUAUGUGGUCUUAAUCUGUUGUCAAUGACAUUCAAGAACUUAAAGUAGGAUUCAAGCCUGAACUUGGUUCUUUGAAGUAUUACCAUGGUUUGUCACAUGGAUGUGAAAUAGCUCCUUGCCAGUACAAUACGUAA